UGUUAAGAAUGGAGGAUACAGCAUGAAAAUUAAAAUACACAAAUACUGUUUAAAAUGGUUGAUACAGCAUUAACAUGAAAAUAUGACAAAAUCUGAUCAGACUACAAUAUUCUAAUAAAAGGUUGACUUUAGAGGAAUAUUAUUUGAUAAAACUGCAAAAUAAUGUAUAUGCUAGAAUAACAUUGUUUACUUAAUGUGGUACAGUAAUAUACUAAUAACUUUAAUAAUUGGUAAUACAGGCAAUAGCAUAUAUAAAUAAAGGCAACAGUAGUAUACCGCUGUUCAAAACUAUAUACACUUUGAACAAAUAUUCACGGAACAAAAGCAACAGUGUACAACCAGAAAUACAAAAAGUGGAACAAUCAAACUCAACAGAGAUUGUUUAUCAAAUAUUUCUUCUGUUCAUGUUGGAACAACCAGAAAAAAAAUAUUUUUAGUAAAACUAUGCGGCAUGAUAACAUUGCAG
RNAcentral lists this long non-coding RNA (466 nucleotides) under Mytilus galloprovincialis (Mediterranean mussel). The record is from RNAcentral. Lineage: Eukaryota; Metazoa; Mollusca; Bivalvia; Mytilida; Mytilidae.